This 694-nucleotide unclassified non-coding RNA is filed under the name Hodgsonia heteroclita. RNAcentral's name for it is "sequence contains ITS1, 5.8S rRNA gene and ITS2". The stretch from base 266 to 421 matches the Rfam family "5.8S ribosomal RNA". Lineage: Eukaryota; Viridiplantae; Streptophyta; Magnoliopsida; Cucurbitales; Cucurbitaceae. The record is from RNAcentral.
AUUUAGAGGAAGGAGAAGUCGUAACAAGGUUUCCGUAGGUGAACCUGCGGAAGGAUCAUUGUCGAUGCCUAAACAUCAAACGACCCGUGAACACGUUUACAAAACCUUUCGUGCCGAGGGGGUGGGAGCAUCUUCUUGCCCUGCCCCCUCGGUGCCUAAACAAACCCCGGCGCAGGUCGUGCCAAGGAACUCAAACGAAUUCGCUUACCCCUUGCCUCGUUCUCGAUGUGCGGGGGUGGAGCAUUCUUGUCGUAUUAUUCACAACGACUCUCGGCAACGGAUAUCUCGGCUCUCGCAUCGAUGAAGAACGUAGCGAAAUGCGAUACUUGGUGUGAAUUGCAGGAUCCCGCGAACCACCGAGUCUUUGAACGCAAGUUGCGCCCGGAGCCUUCUGGCCGAGGGCACGUCUGCCUGGGCGUCACGCAUCGCUGGAAACCCCUAUCGGGUUGGUUGCCUUGAGGGGGCACACGUUGGCCUCCCGUGCGCACCGUCGCACGGAUGGCUUAAAUUUGAGUCCAUGGCGCCUGUCGUCGCGACACUACGGUGGUCGAGCCAACCUCGGUACUGUGUCGCGACCUCAGUUUGUGCACCUCCUCCAUCGUGAGUGAGUGAUGACUCCUACGUUGAACCUCUGAACAUCGUCCCCAAGGAUGAUGCUCUCGACGCGACCCCAGGUCAGGCGGGACUACCCGCA